Molecule: non-coding RNA, 32 nt
Filed under: Mus musculus (house mouse)
Lineage: Eukaryota; Metazoa; Chordata; Mammalia; Rodentia; Muridae
Source: RNAcentral
AGCUAAAUUGUAAAAUAAAUUAAAAUGAGCGU